UUCAAUUUUUGAAGUUUCUCUAGCUUUUUUGUUGGGUGAAAUCAGUAUAAGAAGCUCUUUCUUCUUUAAAAAUUAGUAGGAACUAAAAAACUUUGAUUUAAAACCAGGAUUAGAUACCCUGUUAUUCUCAGUUAUUCUUAAACAGGGUAGUAAAAGUUGUUCUUCAAACCCAAAGAUUUUGGCGGCACUUUAUCCAAAUAGAGGAGCUUGUCCCUUAAUCGAUAGUCCUCGUUUUAUCUUUCCUUCAUUUGUAAAGCUUGUAUACCGCCGUUGUCAGAUUACUUUUAGAGAAUGUUUUCAAGUUAAAAGACUUUAUAACUUCAGGUCAAGGUGCAGUUUAUAUGGGGGUGGAGGUGAGCUACAGUUUUCUUUAGAAAAUACGGAUUCUAAGCUCUGAAGCUAGCUGAAGGUGGAUUUACUAGUAAAGUAA
This 430-nucleotide ribosomal RNA is filed under the name Daphnia galeata. Its description in RNAcentral is "partial 12S rRNA". The record is from RNAcentral. Lineage: Eukaryota; Metazoa; Arthropoda; Branchiopoda; Diplostraca; Daphniidae.